This 72-nucleotide transfer RNA is filed under the name Camelus ferus (Wild Bactrian camel). It matches the Rfam family "tRNA". From Rfam's summary of the family: Transfer RNA (tRNA) molecules are approximately 80 nucleotides in length. Their secondary structure includes four short double-helical elements and three loops (D, anti-codon, and T loops). Lineage: Eukaryota; Metazoa; Chordata; Mammalia; Artiodactyla; Camelidae. The record is from Rfam by way of RNAcentral.
GAAGGUGUAGCUCAGGGGUAGUGCGUGUGCUCAGCAUGCACGAGGUCCUGGGUUCCAUCCCCAGCACCUCCG